Molecule: non-coding RNA, 45 nt
Filed under: Schistosoma mansoni
Lineage: Eukaryota; Metazoa; Platyhelminthes; Trematoda; Strigeidida; Schistosomatidae
Source: RNAcentral
AUCCAAUUGACGAGUCCCAAACACGACGAAACCCGCGUUCUGGAU